AAUGGGUCAGCGACUUAUAUUCUGUAGCAAGGUUAACCGAAUAGGGGAGCCGAAGGGAAACCGAGUCUUAACUGGGCGUUAAGUUGCAGGGUAUAGACCCGAAACCCGGUGAUCUAGCCAUGGGCAGGUUGAAGGUUGGGUAACACUAACUGGAGGACCGAACCGACUAAUGUUGAAAAAUUAGCGGAUGACUUGUGGCUGGGGGUGAAAGGCCAAUCAAACCGGGAGAUAGCUGGUUCUCCCCGAAAGCUAUUUAGGUAGCGCCUCGUGAAUUCAUCUCCGGGGGUAGAGCACUGUUUCGGCAAGGGGGUCAUCCCGACUUACCAACCCGAUGCAAACUGCGAAUACCGGAGAAUGUUAUCACGGGAGACACACGGCGGGUGCUAACGUCCGUCGUGAAGAGGGAAACAACCCAGACCGCCAGCUAAGGUCCCAAAGUCAUGGUUAAGUGGGAAACGAUGUGGGAAGGCCCAGACAGCCAGGAUGUUGGCUUAGAAGCAGCCAUCAUUUAAAGAAAGCGUAAUAGCUCACUGGUCGAGUCGGCCUGCGCGGAAGAUGUAACGGGGCUAAACCAUGCACCGA
This 582-nucleotide ribosomal RNA is filed under the name Escherichia coli. Its description in RNAcentral is "partial 23S ribosomal RNA". It matches the Rfam family "Bacterial large subunit ribosomal RNA", at positions 614 to 1197 of the family's 2925-position model. The record is from RNAcentral. Lineage: Bacteria; Pseudomonadati; Pseudomonadota; Gammaproteobacteria; Enterobacterales; Enterobacteriaceae.